Molecule: ribosomal RNA, 393 nt
Filed under: uncultured bacterium
Lineage: Bacteria
Description: partial 16S ribosomal RNA
Rfam family: Bacterial small subunit ribosomal RNA
Source: RNAcentral
AUACGGAGGAUGCGAGCGUUAUCCGGAUUUAUUGGGUUUAAAGGGUGCGCAGGCGGGCGAUUAAGUCAGCGGUGAAAGGCUCGGGCUCAACCGGAGCAGUGCCGUUGAUACUGGUUGUCUUGAAUGCGGUCAAGGCCGGCGGAAUGUGGCGUGUAGCGGUGAAAUGCAUAGAUAUGCCAAAGAACACCGAUAGCCAAGGCAGCUGGCCGGGCCUGCAUUGACGCUGAGGCACGAAAGCGUGGGGAGCGAACAGGAUUAGAUACCCUGGUAGUCCACGCUGUAAACGAUGGACACUCGUUGUCGGCGACAGACAGUCGGCGGCCAAGCGAAAGUGAUAAGUGUCCCACCUGGGGAGUACGGUCGCAAGGCUGAAACUCAAAUGAAUUGACGGGG